This 497-nucleotide ribosomal RNA is filed under the name uncultured bacterium. RNAcentral describes it as "partial 16S ribosomal RNA". It matches the Rfam family "Bacterial small subunit ribosomal RNA", at positions 28 to 507 of the family's 1533-position model. The record is from RNAcentral.
GAUGAACGCUGGCGGCGUGCUUAAUACAUGCAAGUCGAGCGAACAGACGAGGAUCUUGUUCCUCUGACGUUAGCGGCGGACGUGUGAGUAACACGUGGAUAACCCACCUAUAAGACUGGGAUAACUUCGGGAAACCGGAGCUAAUACCGGAUAAUAUAUUGAACCGCAUGGUUCAAUAGUGAAUGCCGGUUUUGCGGUCAUUUCUAGAUGGAUCCGCGCUGCUUUAGCUAGUUGGUAAGUUAACGGCUUACCAAGGCAACGAUGCGUAGCCGACCGGAGAGGGUGAUCGGCGACACUGGAACUGAGACACGGUCCAGACUCCUACGGGAGGCAGCAGUAGGGAAUCGUCCGCAAUGGGCGAAAGCCUGACGGAGCAACGCCGCGUGAGUGAUGAAGGUCUUCGGAUCGUAAAACUCUGUUAUUAGGGAAGAACAAAUGUGUAAGUAACUAUGCACGUCUUGACGGUACCUAAUCAGAAAGCCACGGCUAACUACGUG